This is a non-coding RNA of Sus scrofa (pig), 2017 nucleotides long. The record is from RefSeq and is a predicted model, not a curated record. NCBI's taxonomy places the organism in Eukaryota, Metazoa, Chordata, Mammalia, Artiodactyla, Suidae.
AUUGUCAUACAUAUGUGUUGAAUAAAAGGAACUGUUAUUAAUAGGUCUUUAAUAAUAUGUUGGUGAGGUGUAGGGGAGGCCAGGUGUUCUAUACCCCUAUAAUAAUGUCUCAGUCUUUUAGAGAUCAUGUGCCUCUGACUGGGGGACUUCACAAGAGUUCCUCAUUUUUUUUCUCCCCCAUCAGUGCAACAGGAGUUGAGUAUUUCCCUUUCUCAGCAGGUCAGGCUCUGUUUAACUAGUUUCUCCUGAGAGCAGGCCUUGUUAAGAAGAACUGAGUCCUCUGGAGGGUCUUAAAUUAUUCCUUUUCCCCUCCCCCUGCAAAGCAGGUUGGGAUUUUUCUCUGGUAUUUACUGUGGGAACCUGGUAGCACUCCUGGAGGUAAAUCUUACAGUAUUUUGCCCCUCUCCGCACCCCAGGACUGGUUCCCUAGGAGUUUUUAACUCUCAGAGUUUCCUGAACUGAGCCUCCAGCAGUUCAUCACCUAUAGUCAAGGCUUUCCCACCCCAGCAUUGGUUCCAGUGGUGAUUUCGGCUAGAAGUCUAUGCUCUGUUAGUGAGUUAGGCAGUCUUUGCGGAUUCUGUGAUCUCAGCUAAGGCUACCUGGUGUUGGAAAGUAAUAUCCAACAAUAAAAAGGACUGCUGGGAGCUGAGAAAGUACUUUCCAAAUUGCACUGACGUCUGGUAAUAAAUAUUUUGGAAGUUCAGAGGACCCUGUUUAAUGAUGGCUGAAUGGUUCCAGAGGGGGGUAUGUGACAUUGUCAGGAUUUGGUCUUUUUCUCUCUCAUGGGAUCUGAUUUCUUCUGGGAUAUCCUGACUCUGAUGUAACUUGUCUCCAUAUGGUAGUUUUUCACAGAUCUGGAAUUAUAUACACAAACCCCUAUGUGUAGUUCAUAUAUAGCAUAUAAAGGGGGCACCUUUUCAGUUGCCAGAAUAGUUAGAGUAUGUGAUCAUUCCUAAACUAACCACUGUGCCUGAGGGAUGUGAUACUCUCCUCUAUGAUAAAGCCUAUAUAAGAUAAUUGUUCUCCAUGGUGAAUGUCAGAGGAUAUAGCCCUUUAUUUGAUAAUUGUACAUGAGAGUAAUUACAUUAUUAUUUGUAUCCAAUUAAAACAAGUUUAUUUUUCAAGUAAUUAUCAUAAAUCAUGAUAUUUUGUCAUUACCUGUCUGCUUCCUUUUCUCAGUUUUUAUCUGAGGAAAGGAAAAAACUUUUAUCAUGGAAAAUUUCAAAUGUAUACCAAAGUAGGCAAGCAGUGUAAUAAACCCUCUUCUAUGAUUUCCCAGAUUUAACAAUGAUCAAUUACAGUCCAUCUAGUUUCAUUCUCAUCCUCUUACUCAUUCAAUUGAAUACAUAUUUAGGUUUAUUUAUUUUAUUUUUAAUUGAAGAGAUUGAUCUAUAAUUUUGAUAUUGUUAAAAUUGUUUGGUGGAAAUAUUUUUAUAGUUCCUAACUCAAAUCUUAAAAAGAUAUAUAGUCAAAGAGCUCAAACUUCUUUCCCUGUUCCCUUCACUCUGUUCUGUUUCUUUUAUAUAGCCACUAAAAUAAGUUAUAAUCUAUUCUUCUGUUGUUUUAUACUAACACGUUUAUAUGAUAUUCUAAGUUCCUUUUUUAACUUAUUUUCUGUUGAUUCCCUGCUAUUAGCAGGCUUAGAAUAAUUGGUAACCCCUUCUUCCCAUCCAUUCUUUCUCUACUGGAUUCUGAACUGAAAUAAUGUUCCUUUAUCUUAGAUAGGAGCUAUAAGGCAUUUAACAAGUCUAUUUUAUUUUUAUAUUUUCUCUUUUAUUUCCCCACUUUUGAUUGUUAUAUUUUACCUAUAUUAUCAGAGUACACUACUAUUAUAUACUAUAUUCUUUUCCUUAUAACUAUCAUUCAGUUUUAAUUCUACAGAUAAAUAAUGUUUAGAGGUCACCAUAGUGCCUGCAUCUUUUCUUUCUCUUUUGAACCCUCAUUUUUAUUUUAUGUAAUUUCCAGGAUUUAUAAUCUCACUUAGCAAGAGGAAUAGGAAAAAGCAUGACUACUUCAU